GUGGGGAAUAUUGGACAAUGGGCGAAAGCCUGAUCCAGCCAUGCCGCGUGUGUGAAGAAGGUCUUCGGAUUGUAAAGCACUUUAAGUUGGGAGGAAGGGUAGUAACCUAAUACGUUGCUACUUUGACGUUACCGACAGAAUAAGCACCGGCUAACUUCGUGCCAGCAGCCGCGGUAAUACGAAGGGUGCAAGCGUUAAUCGGAAUUACUGGGCGUAAAGCGCGCGUAGGUGGUUCAGUAAGUUGGAAGUGAAAUCCCCGGGCUCAACCUGGGAACUGCGUUCAAAACUGCUGAGCUAGAGUACGGUAGAGGUUGGUGGAAUUUCCUGUGUAGCGGUGAAAUGCGUAGAUAUAGGAAGGAACACCAGUGGCGAAGGCGACCACCUGGACUGAUACUGACACUGAGGUGCGAAAGCGUGGGGAGCAAACAGGAUUAGAAACCCCUGUAGUCC
RNAcentral lists this ribosomal RNA (450 nucleotides) under uncultured bacterium. RNAcentral describes it as "partial 16S ribosomal RNA". It matches the Rfam family "Bacterial small subunit ribosomal RNA", at positions 354 to 796 of the family's 1533-position model. The record is from RNAcentral.